Molecule: non-coding RNA, 23 nt
Filed under: Cricetulus griseus (Chinese hamster)
Lineage: Eukaryota; Metazoa; Chordata; Mammalia; Rodentia; Cricetidae
Source: RNAcentral
AACUGAGGAUUGAGGGUGAUGGU